Molecule: ribosomal RNA, 237 nt
Filed under: uncultured prokaryote
Description: partial 16S ribosomal RNA
Rfam family: Bacterial small subunit ribosomal RNA
Source: RNAcentral
UGGGGAAUUUUGCGCAAUGGGCGAAAGCCUGACGCAGCGACGCCGCGUGUACGAUGAAGGCCUUUGGGUCGUAAAGUACUGUCAACGGGGACGAACGCGGCACAUUGAAUAGGUGUGUCGUCUGACGGUACCCGUGGAGGAAGCACCGGCUAACUCUGUGCCAGCAGCCGCGGUAAUACAGAGGGUGCAAACGUUGCUCGGAAUGACUGGGCGUAAAGCGCGCGCAGGUGGGGAAAA